This is a long non-coding RNA of Ahaetulla prasina, 1022 nucleotides long. RefSeq lists it as uncharacterized. The transcript has 3 exons. NCBI's taxonomy places the organism in Eukaryota, Metazoa, Chordata, Lepidosauria, Squamata, Colubridae. The record is from RefSeq and is a predicted model, not a curated record.
AAGGUUGGAGGCCCCUGGAGUAGAGUGUUGGAGGCGGCAUUUCUGUCUAUGGAGCGUCAUUUGCUUUUCUGGGAUUCCCCAAAGGAAAGCGGGGCAGAGACCCAAGAGAGAGCAGGAAUAAGUUAAAACUAGGGAAAAAUUCUUUAGGCAGAGCUGCAAUCCUAAACCUUUCCCUUGAAGAGAAUUGAUAUCGCUUUAAUAAGAAGCACGGCGGCUCACGUGCUUAGGACCGACGGGGUUGACAAGCAAGGCAGCCAGCCAACCCGCCCGCGAUCGAGAGCUCCGGAGUGUUGCCUUGGGUCGGGGUGAGAGCUCCGAUGGUUCUCUCGAAGCUCUUUUGGGGUUUAGCAAUUCGAAAAUGUUGCCCCAGAGAUACCUUUAUUUCCCUCAAGAGGCAACUGGAGUUUCUUAGUUUUGUCUUUUGAAGACAUUUCGCUUCUCAUCCAAGAAGCUUCAUGUCUUCAAGGAAAAACCAGAAAGCCCAGUUGCCUCUUGAUGGGGAAAAAAGGCACCUUUGGGACAACCAUUACUUGGACGACUGAAAAUCUCCACAGACAUUCGAGCGAGUAGAUAGGUACCGCUUCGGUGGACACAGCAGUUCGGCGGUUCGAAUCCCUAGUACAGGUCUCCUGCGGGAGCCGGGGGUUGGACUAGAUGAUCUCCAGGGUCCCUUCCAACUCUGUUACUAUUAACAUUAAUGGAGACAUGAAAGGAGCUCUCUUAACUCGGCUUCAUCCGGGCAACGGCUGAUCCUUUCAACCUGGAAAAGCUUUGGUGCUUCAGACAGGAUUGCCAUGCCAUCGCAUUUGAAUGCCUUUGAAGCUAUUUGGGCCUUAGAUUCUUACAAAUAAAGAUAUUCUGACAGGGACACUUGAGAGUUGUCUACAGAUCUACAAAGGUCAUAAAUGCAAGGAUUGAUCACUAAGUUACUUUCUUAUCAUCAUAACUGUGAAGGUCGCUAAAACAGUCAGUUGCUAAAUAAGGACUAUCUGAAUCUUUUCCUUUAAGUUAGGGUUCUGUGA